Molecule: long non-coding RNA, 318 nt
Organism: Uloborus diversus
Lineage: Eukaryota; Metazoa; Arthropoda; Arachnida; Araneae; Uloboridae
Exons: 4
Source: RefSeq, a predicted model, not a curated record
GCUUGCCGUGACGACUGCCCGCCAAAACCAAGACCUGACAACGGCCAUGUGUGAAAGUGAAUGCCUGUGACCUCAAGAAGUACCUUCAAUAUGAAUAAGUUAUUGGAUUUUCCCGAUGUUGAUGAUGUGUAAAAUUGUCCUCUUAACACCUUUCUCGGGACUUUUUGGGGACAAUAUUAAAAUUCAGAAGAGUUUUUAAUAUUUUUGGAUGGAAAGCAGCAAUACAUGCAAUGUCUUUGCAGAAAUAAACCGGGAAAGAAGAACCAAGAACCUAAUCAAAAGGCUUAGUUUUUGGUGCCUUUGACAUUUAUAUUUUAA